This 2929-nucleotide ribosomal RNA is filed under the name Escherichia coli. Its description in RNAcentral is "23S ribosomal RNA". It matches the Rfam family "Bacterial large subunit ribosomal RNA". The record is from RNAcentral. Lineage: Bacteria; Pseudomonadati; Pseudomonadota; Gammaproteobacteria; Enterobacterales; Enterobacteriaceae.
GGGUUGUGAGGUUAAGCGACUAAGCGUACACGGUGGAUGCCCUGGCAGUCAGAGGCGAUGAAGGACGUGCUAAUCUGCGAUAAGCGUCGGUAAGGUGAUAUGAACCGUUAUAACCGGCGAUUUCCGAAUGGGGAAACCCAGUGUGUUUCGACACACUAUCAUUAACUGAAUCCAUAGGUUAAUGAGGCGAACCGGGGGAACUGAAACAUCUAAGUACCCCGAGGAAAAGAAAUCAACCGAGAUUCCCCCAGUAGCGGCGAGCGAACGGGGAGCAGCCCAGAGCCUGAAUCAGUGUGUGUGUUAGUGGAAGCGUCUGGAAAGGCGCGCGAUACAGGGUGACAGCCCCGUACACAAAAAUGCACAUGCUGUGAGCUCGAUGAGUAGGGCGGGACACGUGGUAUCCUGUCUGAAUAUGGGGGGACCAUCCUCCAAGGCUAAAUACUCCUGACUGACCGAUAGUGAACCAGUACCGUGAGGGAAAGGCGAAAAGAACCCCGGCGAGGGGAGUGAAAAAGAACCUGAAACCGUGUACGUACAAGCAGUGGGAGCACGCUUAGGCGUGUGACUGCGUACCUUUUGUAUAAUGGGUCAGCGACUUAUAUUCUGUAGCAAGGUUAACCGAAUAGGGGAGCCGAAGGGAAACCGAGUCUUAACUGGGCGUUAAGUUGCAGGGUAUAGACCCGAAACCCGGUGAUCUAGCCAUGGGCAGGUUGAAGGUUGGGUAACACUAACUGGAGGACCGAACCGACUAAUGUUGAAAAAUUAGCGGAUGACUUGUGGCUGGGGGUGAAAGGCCAAUCAAACCGGGAGAUAGCUGGUUCUCCCCGAAAGCUAUUUAGGUAGCGCCUCGUGAAUUCAUCUCCGGGGGUAGAGCACUGUUUCGGCAAGGGGGUCAUCCCGACUUACCAACCCGAUGCAAACUGCGAAUACCGGAGAAUGUUAUCACGGGAGACACACGGCGGGUGCUAACGUCCGUCGUGAAGAGGGAAACAACCCAGACCGCCAGCUAAGGUCCCAAAGUCAUGGUUAAGUGGGAAACGAUGUGGGAAGGCCCAGACAGCCAGGAUGUUGGCUUAGAAGCAGCCAUCAUUUAAAGAAAGCGUAAUAGCUCACUGGUCGAGUCGGCCUGCGCGGAAGAUGUAACGGGGCUAAACCAUGCACCGAAGCUGCGGCAGCGACACUAUGUGUUGUUGGGUAGGGGAGCGUUCUGUAAGCCUGUGAAGGUGUACUGUGAGGUAUGCUGGAGGUAUCAGAAGUGCGAAUGCUGACAUAAGUAACGAUAAAGCGGGUGAAAAGCCCGCUCGCCGGAAGACCAAGGGUUCCUGUCCAACGUUAAUCGGGGCAGGGUGAGUCGACCCCUAAGGCGAGGCCGAAAGGCGUAGUCGAUGGGAAACAGGUUAAUAUUCCUGUACUUGGUGUUACUGCGAAGGGGGGACGGAGAAGGCUAUGUUGGCCGGGCGACGGUUGUCCCGGUUUAAGCGUGUAGGCUGGUUUUCCAGGCAAAUCCGGAAAAUCAAGGCUGAGGCGUGAUGACGAGGCACUACGGUGCUGAAGCAACAAAUGCCCUGCUUCCAGGAAAAGCCUCUAAGCAUCAGGUAACAUCAAAUCGUACCCCAAACCGACACAGGUGGUCAGGUAGAGAAUACCAAGGCGCUUGAGAGAACUCGGGUGAAGGAACUAGGCAAAAUGGUGCCGUAACUUCGGGAGAAGGCACGCUGAUAUGUAGGUGAGGUCCCUCGCGGAUGGAGCUGAAAUCAGUCGAAGAUACCAGCUGGCUGCAACUGUUUAUUAAAAACACAGCACUGUGCAAACACGAAAGUGGACGUAUACGGUGUGACGCCUGCCCGGUGCCGGAAGGUUAAUUGAUGGGGUCAGCGCAAGCGAAGCUCUUGAUCGAAGCCCCGGUAAACGGCGGCCGUAACUAUAACGGUCCUAAGGUAGCGAAAUUCCUUGUCGGGUAAGUUCCGACCUGCACGAAUGGCGUAAUGAUGGCCAGGCUGUCUCCACCCGAGACUCAGUGAAAUUGAACUCGCUGUGAAGAUGCAGUGUACCCGCGGCAAGACGGAAAGACCCCGUGAACCUUUACUAUAGCUUGACACUGAACAUUGAGCCUUGAUGUGUAGGAUAGGUGGGAGGCUUUGAAGUGUGGACGCCAGUCUGCAUGGAGCCGACCUUGAAAUACCACCCUUUAAUGUUUGAUGUUCUAACGUUGACCCGUAAUCCGGGUUGCGGACAGUGUCUGGUGGGUAGUUUGACUGGGGCGGUCUCCUCCUAAAGAGUAACGGAGGAGCACGAAGGUUGGCUAAUCCUGGUCGGACAUCAGGAGGUUAGUGCAAUGGCAUAAGCCAGCUUGACUGCGAGCGUGACGGCGCGAGCAGGUGCGAAAGCAGGUCAUAGUGAUCCGGUGGUUCUGAAUGGAAGGGCCAUCGCUCAACGGAUAAAAGGUACUCCGGGGAUAACAGGCUGAUACCGCCCAAGAGUUCAUAUCGACGGCGGUGUUUGGCACCUCGAUGUCGGCUCAUCACAUCCUGGGGCUGAAGUAGGUCCCAAGGGUAUGGCUGUUCGCCAUUUAAAGUGGUACGCGAGCUGGGUUUAGAACGUCGUGAGACAGUUCGGUCCCUAUCUGCCGUGGGCGCUGGAGAACUGAGGGGGGCUGCUCCUAGUACGAGAGGACCGGAGUGGACGCAUCACUGGUGUUCGGGUUGUCAUGCCAAUGGCACUGCCCGGUAGCUAAAUGCGGAAGAGAUAAGUGCUGAAAGCAUCUAAGCACGAAACUUGCCCCGAGAUGAGUUCUCCCUGACCCUUUAAGGGUCCUGAAGGAACGUUGAAGACGACGACGUUGAUAGGCCGGGUGUGUAAGCGCAGCGAUGCGUUGAGCUAACCGGUACUAAUGAACCGUGAGGCUUAACCUUACAACGCCGAAGCUGUU